GAGAUAAUAUGUAAGAAAAGAAGCUUCUAACUUCAAUUUCAGGCAGUUUAAUUCUGUCUUUAUCUCU
This 67-nucleotide transfer RNA is filed under the name Palaemon macrodactylus. Its description in RNAcentral is "tRNA-Ser". Lineage: Eukaryota; Metazoa; Arthropoda; Malacostraca; Decapoda; Palaemonidae. RNAcentral also lists the same sequence under 2 other names. The record is from RNAcentral.